Molecule: ribosomal RNA, 481 nt
Filed under: uncultured bacterium
Lineage: Bacteria
Description: bacterial SSU rRNA
Rfam family: Bacterial small subunit ribosomal RNA
Source: RNAcentral
GACGAACGCUGGCGGCGUGCUUAACACAUGCAAGUCGAACGGAAAGGCCCUUCGGGGUACUCGAGUGGCGAACGGGUGAGUAACACGUGGGUGAUCUGCCCUGCACUUUGGGAUAAGCCUGGGAAACUGGGUCUAAUACCGAAUAGGACCACGCGCUUCAUGGCGUGUGGUGCAAAGCUUUUGCGGUGUGGGAUGAGCCCGCGGCCUAUCAGCUUGUUGGUGGGGUAAUGGCCUACCAAGGCGACGACGGGUAGCCGGCCUGAGAGGGUGACCGGCCACACUGGGACUGAGAUACGGCCCAGACUCCUACGGGAGGCAGCAGUGGGGAAUAUUGCACAAUGGGCGCAAGCCUGAUGCAGCGACGCCGCGUGAGGGAUGACGGCCUUCGGGUUGUAAACCUCUUUCAGUAGGGACGAAGCGCAAGUGACGGUAAUGGGAAAAGAAGCACCGGCUAACUACGUGCCAGCCGCCGCAGUAACAC